UAUCUCUGUAGAGUCUGCAUAUCAAUAAGCGGAGGAAAAGAAACUAACUAGGAUUCCCUCAGUAACGGCGAGUGAAGCGGGAAGAGCUCAAAUUUGAAAUCUUCAAGGUUCUACCUUGACGAAUUGUAGUUUAAAGAAGUGUUUUCUGUUGGAUGUUUUGGUAAAAGUUCUUUGGAAUAGGACAUCAUAGAGGGUGAGAAUCCCGUAUUUGACCAUUACUUCCAGCUUUGUGAUACACUUUCAAAGAGUCGGAUUGUUUGGGAAUGCAGUCCAAAAUGGGUGGUAAAUUUCAUCUAAAGCUAAAUAUUGGCGAGAGACCGAUAGCGAACAAGUACCGUGAGGGAAAGAUGAAAAGAACUUUGAAAAGAGAGUUAAACAGUACGUGAAAUUGUCAAAAGGGAAGCGUUUGACACCAGUGUUGUUUUCUCGAAAAUCAAUUAAAAAAGGCAGGAUUUUGUGUUGUAUUGACUUUAUCAGCUUUCUGCACUCUUUUCUUGUCUUUUUUAAUGCACUUUUCGUUUAACAAGUCAACAUCAAUUUCUCUUGUUGUAAAAGGGUCAUUGGAAGGUGGCUUUCUUUUCGGAGAAAGUGUUUAUAGCCUUUGGCCUCUGCAAUCGGAGAGAGUGAGGUCUGCAGCGUAGAUCCUUCGGGGUUAGAUACAUUUGUGCUAAGUUAUAGCCUUUCAUAGACAACUUGUUGACUAUGAUCAGUCAUGUAGCUUACUCGCUUAUGCUAUUUUACCUACGCUUAGGAUGUUGACGAUCAGCUGAGCGCG
This 775-nucleotide ribosomal RNA is filed under the name uncultured Neocallimastigales. RNAcentral's name for it is "partial large subunit ribosomal RNA". It matches the Rfam family "Eukaryotic large subunit ribosomal RNA", at positions 24 to 627 of the family's 3401-position model. Lineage: Eukaryota; Fungi; Neocallimastigomycota; Neocallimastigomycetes; Neocallimastigales. The record is from RNAcentral.